This 243-nucleotide ribosomal RNA is filed under the name uncultured bacterium. RNAcentral's name for it is "partial 16S ribosomal RNA". It matches the Rfam family "Bacterial small subunit ribosomal RNA", at positions 15 to 244 of the family's 1533-position model. The record is from RNAcentral.
GAUCCUGGCUCAGGAUGAACGCUAGCUACAGGCUUAACACAUGCAAGUCGAGGGGAAACGACAUCGAAAGCUUGCUUUUGAUGGGCGUCGACCGGCGCACGGGUGAGUAACGCGUAUCCAACCUGCCCAUCACUUGGGAAUAACCUUGCGAAAGUAAGACUAAUACCCAAUGAUAUCCCACGAAGGCAUCCGAAUGGGAUUAAAAGAAUUUAUCGGUGAUGGAUGGGGAGUGCGUCUGAUUAG